UCACCUACUAUAUCUGUUUUAGGGGCUAUUACACCAGUUUAGGGUGCAGCCGAGGAGGACUGCGCUCAUUUUAUAUCCUCUUUAAUCUUUAAUAAACCAGGGGUUAGGGUUACCCCCGGUUAGAGUAAAUGUUAAAAUUUUUUUGUUUUUGGUUGGAUUAAGUUUUGUGCCCCUAUGGUACAAUUUUUCGUGUUUAAAAAUGAGUUAAUUAGUAAUUUUAUCAUUCCCGAUUUUUCUCGGCCCUAGUACGACUGUUUAUUAAAAACAUUUCCGCCCGUCAGGUUUGGGCGGUAGCACCUGCCCUGUGAUUAAUUUAACGGCCGCAGUAUUUUGACUGUGCGAAGGUAGCAUAAUUAAUUGCCCCAUAAUUGGGGGCUUGUUUGAAUGGUUUAAUGUGACUAGUCAGCUAAAUUGGGGAUUUUGGUGAAUUUAAUUUGACGAGUACAGAAUCUGUCUAAGUUAAUAAGACGGAAAGACCCCGGGAUCUUUAGUUUUUGUCUGGGGCAGAUAGUGUUAGUUCAACACUUUUAUGACCCGAAGUUUAAAGGUUUAAGUUACCCCGGGGAUAACAGUGUUAUAGCCUAUUAGAGUUCAUAUCGACUAGGUUGAUUGCUACCUCGAUGUUGACUUGGGUAUUACUGAGGGGCGCAGUUGUUCCCGGUACUGGUCUGUU
Molecule: ribosomal RNA, 673 nt
Filed under: Pseudoglaridacris laruei
Lineage: Eukaryota; Metazoa; Platyhelminthes; Cestoda; Caryophyllidea; Caryophyllaeidae
Description: partial large subunit ribosomal RNA
Rfam family: Bacterial large subunit ribosomal RNA
Source: RNAcentral